UGGCGGCACUAGCGCGGUGGUCCCACCUGACCCCAUGCCGAACUCAGAAGUGAAACGCCGUAGCGCCGAUGGUAGUGUGGGGCCUCCCCAUGCGAGAGUAGGGAACUGCCAGGCA
RNAcentral lists this ribosomal RNA (115 nucleotides) under Pseudescherichia vulneris (CDC Enteric Group 1). The record is from RNAcentral. Lineage: Bacteria; Pseudomonadati; Pseudomonadota; Gammaproteobacteria; Enterobacterales; Enterobacteriaceae.